GACGAACGCUGGCGGCGUGCUUAACACAUGCAAGUCGAACGGAAAGGCCCUGCUUUUGUGGGGUGCUCGAGUGGCGAAGGGGUGAGAAACACGUGAGUAACCUGCCCUUGACUUUGUGAUAACUUCAGGAAACUGGGGAUAAUACCGGAGAGGAGCUCCUGCAGCAUGGUGGGGGUUGGAAAGUUUCGGCUGUGGUGGAUAGACUCGCGGCUUAUCAGCUUGUUGGGGGGGUAGUGGCUUACCAAGGCUUCGACGGGUAGCCGGCCUGAGAGGGGGACCGGGGACCUGGCGACUGAGAGACGGCGCAGACGCCUAUGGUAGGCAGUAGGCGAGAAUAUGGCACAAUGGGCCCAAGCGUGAGGCAGCAAUGCUGCGUGCGGGAUGACGGCCUUCGGGGGGUAAACCGCUGUCGCCUGUGACGAAGCGGUAUUGACGGUAACGGGUAAAGAAGCACCGGCUAACUACGUG
This 468-nucleotide ribosomal RNA is filed under the name uncultured bacterium. Its description in RNAcentral is "partial 16S ribosomal RNA". It matches the Rfam family "Bacterial small subunit ribosomal RNA", at positions 28 to 507 of the family's 1533-position model. The record is from RNAcentral.